GGACAGUGUGCCAUUAUCAUGUUUGAUGUCACUGCUCGUUUGACAUACAAGAAUGUCCCGACAUGGCACCGUGACCUAUGCAGGGUAUGCGAGAACAUUCCGAUUGUUUUGUGCGGAAACAAGGUGGAUGUAAAGAAUAGGCAGAUGAAAGCACAGGAGGUUACCUUUCAUAGGAAGAAAAAUCUCCAGUACUAUGAAAUCUCUGCCAAGAGCAAUUACAACUUUGAGAAACCUUUCUUGUACCUUGCCAGAAAGCUUGCAGGACUGACGUGUUCUUAGCACCACAGAUUGCUAUAGCUACAGCAAGGUUCAAUAUAAACAUGUUCCAACUUCAAUGGGGACACAAGAGGCAUCUGUAAGUGUUGAAACUUAUCAUGAAGAUCCAAAGUGAAGCUGGUCUCUUAAGAAACAAGAUGUCUUUCAAGUGGAAUGUGCUGUGUUGAGGCAAUCCACCCUUAUGUACUUUAGGUUUAUUUUUUUUAUUGGUUUUGCUAUAAGCUUCAUUUGUGAUUGCUUCACAACAUUUGUUUGUAUACUACUCAACUUUUUAUACAAGUGAAGGUUCUUUGCAACAAGCAAAGAAUUAGACAAAUUUGUUAUUCUUCUUAUUUAUAAAACUUUUGGGUGAUAUUGGA
Molecule: RNA transcript, 635 nt
Organism: Rosa rugosa (rugosa rose)
Lineage: Eukaryota; Viridiplantae; Streptophyta; Magnoliopsida; Rosales; Rosaceae
Gene name: GTP-binding nuclear protein Ran1B-like
Exons: 4
Source: RefSeq, a predicted model, not a curated record